GAUGAACGCUGGCGGUAUGCCUAACACAUGCAAGUCGUACGGGAGUUUUUAACUCCAGUGGCGGACGGGUGAGUAACACGUGAGAAUUUACCUUUAGGAGGGGGUUAACAGAUUGAAAAGCCUGCUAAUACCCCAUAUGCUUUCGAGUGAAAUGAAUUUAUUCGCCUAGAGAGAAGCUCGCGGCUGAUUAGCUUGUUGGUAAGGUAAUGGCUUACCAAGGCGACGAUCAGUAUCUGGUUUGAGAGGAUGACCAGACACACUGGAACUGAGACACGGUCCAG
Molecule: ribosomal RNA, 281 nt
Filed under: uncultured bacterium
Lineage: Bacteria
Description: partial 16S ribosomal RNA
Rfam family: Bacterial small subunit ribosomal RNA
Source: RNAcentral